GCUUCCAUAGCUCAGUGGUAGAGCACUUCCAUGGUAAGGAAGGGGUCGCCGGUUCAAAUCCGGCUGGAAGCU
Salimicrobium flavidum is the source of this 72-nucleotide non-coding RNA. The record is from Rfam. Lineage: Bacteria; Bacillati; Bacillota; Bacilli; Caryophanales; Bacillaceae.